UACGUAGGAUCCGAGCGUUGUCCGGAUUUAUUGGGUUUAAAGGGUGCGUAGGCGGUUUUAUAAGUCAGUGGUGAAAGUUGGCCGCUCAACGGUCAAAUUGCCAUAGAUACUGUAGAACUUGAGUUAAGUUGAGGUGGGCGGAAUGUGUCAUGUAGCGGUGAAAUGCAUAGAGAUGACACAGAACACCGAUUGCGUAGGCAGCUCACUAAGCUUAUACUGACGCUGAGGCACGAAAGUGUGGGGAUCAAACAGG
Molecule: ribosomal RNA, 253 nt
Filed under: uncultured bacterium
Lineage: Bacteria
Description: partial 16S ribosomal RNA
Rfam family: Bacterial small subunit ribosomal RNA
Source: RNAcentral